This 257-nucleotide long non-coding RNA is filed under the name Nicotiana benthamiana. RNAcentral's name for it is "long non-coding RNA (NBEN_LNC008460)". The record is from RNAcentral. Lineage: Eukaryota; Viridiplantae; Streptophyta; Magnoliopsida; Solanales; Solanaceae.
ACAAAUUUUGGUUUUUGAAUUCAAAGUUUUUAAACUUUCUAAUGGUUAUCAAUGGAGUUUAAGCUCAUGUAUGCACGGCAUAAUUCAGUAUAGUUACAAUUAUAUCAUCAAUCAGAAACAGUCACUCAUGUACACAAUGUCUUGUUUAUUCAUCAAAAAGACUAAAGGUAACUCAUUUAUGUUGGUGCUUCACAUAUGUAUUCUAUGGCUUUGCAUCAGUUGGAUCAUUUUUCUUCACUGUUCUUCAAAGAUCCAAA